RNAcentral lists this ribosomal RNA (459 nucleotides) under uncultured bacterium. RNAcentral describes it as "partial 16S ribosomal RNA". It matches the Rfam family "Bacterial small subunit ribosomal RNA", at positions 338 to 795 of the family's 1533-position model. The record is from RNAcentral.
CCUACGGGAGGCUGCAGUGAGGAAUAUUGGUCAAUGGCCGGAAGGCUGAACCAGCCAAGCCGCGUGAGGGAGUAAGGCGCAGAGCGUCGUAGACCUCUUUUGCCGGGGGACAAAAGCCCGGACUCGUCCGGUCCCGAGGAUUCCCGGAGAAAAAGCAUUGGCUAACUCCGUGCCAGCCGCCGCGGUAAUACGGAGGAUGCGAGCGUUAUCCGGAUUUUUUGGGUUGAAAGGGUGCGCAGGCGGGCCUUUAAGCCAGCGGUAAAAACGCGGGGCUCAACCCCGCCCCGCCGUUGAAACUGGGGGCCUUGAGUGGGAGGGAGGCAGGCGGAAUGCGCGGUGUAGCGGUGAAAUGCAUAGAUAUCGCGCAGAACCCCGAUUGCGAAGGCAGCGUGCCGGGGCGCCACUGACGCUGAGGCACGAAAGCGCGGGGAUCGAACAGGAUUAGAUACCCCUGUAGUC